Molecule: ribosomal RNA, 253 nt
Filed under: uncultured bacterium
Lineage: Bacteria
Description: partial 16S ribosomal RNA
Rfam family: Bacterial small subunit ribosomal RNA
Source: RNAcentral
UACGGACGGUGAAUGCGUUGUCAGGACUCACUGGGUUUAAAGGGUGCCUAGGCAGCUAGAUAAGUCAGAGGUGAAAGUUUGUCGCUUAACGAUAGAACUGCCUUUGAUACUGUUAAGCUUGUAAGUAGGUGAGGAUGGCGGAAUGUGACAUGUAGCGGUGAAAUGCAUAGAUAUGUCAUAGAUCACAGAUUGCGAAGGUAGCCGGCUAACCUGACUUUGACGCUGAGGUACGAAAGGGUGGGUAUCGAACAGG